This is a long non-coding RNA of Panthera uncia (snow leopard), 8824 nucleotides long. RefSeq lists it as uncharacterized. Lineage: Eukaryota; Metazoa; Chordata; Mammalia; Carnivora; Felidae. The transcript has 3 exons. The record is from RefSeq and is a predicted model, not a curated record.
UAGGCAGAAGUAGACUAUUCACUGCUUUUAUUAUUGGAUUUUUGUGAAUCCCAGGGUUUUAAAAAUUAUCAUUAAUAGAUUAAGGAAUUAGUGAAGUUACAUACCUGAGAAUGAAGAAAAAGAAGCCUAGAUCUGGACCAGUGAUGAUAGUUGGUGGCGUAUGAGUCAUGGAUGAUGAAUAUGAUGUGUCUGAAACUCUGAGGCCCAAUUAAAAAACCAAAUAAAGUCUCUUCUGUGUGAAGCGGUCUUAUGUACCGAUGUUGGGGGGGGGGAGGGCCCUUUUAUUGGUUUAUUUUCAUGACUUUUGAUUCUACUGUAAUAAAUGGCUAAAAGUAGAAUCAAUCUGCAAGUGUAAAUGAGAUUAAGAGGGCGAAGCACGUCUAUUCUUUGUAAAAAUUAUUAACGUUUAUUGAGAAUAUUGAAGUUUAUUAAGAAAUGUGUUUCCAGUGUCUUACCUCUUUGGCUAAGAAUGAUAGAGACAGUAAAUCACAGUCAACAUUCUCAUUCUUAGUCUGUGUCAGGUUUGAUACUGCCUCGUUUGUUUAGAGAAAAUAAUAAAUAUGACCCUAACGUACUAUAUUCCUAAGUGACAGACUAAGUGAAGUUAAAAUAGUCACAUCCACAGAGCGUCUCUCAAUCUUGUUAUGUGCUCUGCUUUUUAUUCCUCAGGUGCACACACGUGAACUGAUUAAGCACUUGGCUGUCAACAGGGGCUCCACUGGUGGUCCUUAUGUUGGUGCAUGUAGACCAAGAACAGAUGCCCCAAGGAGAUUUCAGCUUCUGUCAUGGUAAAGAUUGUCAAGAGACCAAGGUGACCAAUGGUCAAAGUUCUAGUCUUCGUUUGGGUCAUUUGUUUAAAGGUAUUUAUGGUAGUAUUAAAAUGGAAUAAAUAUAAUAAAAAUUUAAUGAUGUCCACAUGUAAAUAUAUAUGAAAUAUUAUAUUAAUUCUUCAAUAACGGAAUAUGUUAACCAAUCAACCUUAAAGUUGAUUACUCAAAGAGAUAUAGUUAGUCCAUGUGGGAAAUGAUUCUAUGGACUAUGAUCAGAAUAUUCAAAUAUCUUCUUGUUGGGUUUGGAAAUCACAUAUUCAUUAUAUUAUUAUCAAUGAAUUAAUAGCCUAUUCAAUAUAAAUGUAGAAAUGAAUGAAGAAAAAGACAUUCCAAUAUAGACCAGUGAUCACAACUGGUAGCAUGUUAAUUAGGAACGAUGAAUGUCUGGAGCUCCAAGGUCCAACACAAAACAUAGUUAGCUGAGUUCCUCUCUUGGAAAUGAUACUAUAGACAGGUAUCAGAAAUAUACAAAAAUCAUGUUUUUAUUUGGGUUCAUAGAUUUGGAUUUUAUUAUUACUGGUGGAUCAAUGAUGGGACCAUUAAACAAAUAAAAAAUAGAGAAAGAAGAAGAAUAUUACACAUUGCCCAACAUGGGUGACGCAAGAAAUAUUACCAAUAACAAUGAAAAAAGACACUGAUGCCUCCCAAGAAAUGAAUGAAUCUUUGCCUAAGGAUCAUAUAAACUCUGAUAAGUAAGAGUCAGUUGUAUUUCCUGGGUUAGUCUCGAGUUUGUUUCCUCUGUUAAGAGAACAAAAGUCUACAUCACGAACAUUUUACAGGUACCUGAAUGACUAAGUAAAUGAAAUGUGGUUCGCAAGAGGCAAUGGGAUAAGGUCCCAGUGUCCUUCAUCGUCUGCUGUGCUCUGUACUCUUCAGAAUGGACGCACUCACGCUGAUUCAGGCGCUUCCAUGGUUACGUGCUUUCUGAUUGCAUACGUGUGUUUGGAGCAUAGAGACCAAUGUGAGUAGUGGUUGAAGUGUUUGUCUUUCUAGUGUCCCUUUUUUUUUUUUUAAGAUGUUAACUAUAUGUCGUUAAAAAGUACAAAUUGUAAUCAAGCAGGGGAAACUAUGGAAUUGAUUCUAUCGAUUAAAAGGGGUUGAUUGUAUUGAUUAAUGCAUACACGAAAAACGCUAAUUAAUGAGAGCCAUACAUCGAUCCUUUUUGUCUCCUAUAUGAGAGUGAAAAUGAUCUUACAGACGGAUUAGAGAUAUGAAGCCUCUUUUUGUGUUUUUGUGAAUAAGAGGGUCUUAAAAUUAUUAUUAGUGAAUUAAUGAAUUAGUCGAUAAAUAACGUACAACUGAAUGAAGGAAAAGAGGGACAAUAAUGGAUCGAUGAUGACCACUGGUGGCGUAUGAGUCCUAUACGAUGAAUACAUGUCUGGAACUCUGAGGUCCCAAUGAAAGGCAAUCUAGUCCAGUGCCCUUUGUGAAGCGAUACCAUUAGACAGAUACCAUGAAUUUAAAGGGAUCAUGUUUUGGGUUUAUGUUCAUGCAUUCUCUAUUUUUAAGGAGAUAAUCAAUAAUGUAUAAACAAGCAAAGAUUAAGGUCAUGAAGCAUUGUCCAAUUACAAAAAUAUGUAGUGAGACAAGAAAUGCUAUUAAUAUAUAUUGAAAACACACUCCCAUCCACCAAUAGUAAAUGAUACAGAGGUGUUGCCUCUCGGGCUAAGGAUUGUAUAGCUGUAGUGUUAAAUAGUAAUUGGCAAUGUUCAUAAUCCAUGUCAGCGGCAAGGUCAUUAUUGUUCUUUUAUUAGGAGAAAUUAAAUAAACAUUCCUCCCAACUGCAGAUUCCCGAAAUGACCCACUAAAUGAAAGAUGGGAUGCAAAGACCAGUGGAAAUGAGGUGUCUAGCUUUUUGUUAUCAUCCGCUCUGUUCUCUGCAGAGUGGAUGCACUCAAGUUGACUUAAGCAUCUUCCAUGAUCACAAGUUCUAUGGCUGCAUCUAUGUGUUAGAGAGUGGAAAUCAAGAGAAGUAAGAGUCAGUGUUCUCUCAGUUUGGGAGGCUUGUUUAAGGGUAUUCGCUGUGGUAUUAAAAAUGUGAAAUAUAAUCAGCGAAUGCCAACCAUUGCCCCCAAAUGCCAUUAACGUGAAGCGUUGUGUUUAUUAAUCCAUAUACAACACAUUGAGGUCAGUUAAUGAAAGAAAUGAAUUGCUCAGGGAAAUAAUUCUAUAGACAGAUGUUACAGAUUAGUUCAUGCCAACCGUGCACUAAUGAUAAAGAGUUUGAAAUGAGCAUGUUGGCUAAUCCAUACUCAAUACUGAGGUCAGUUAGCAAAGCAGAUCUAGACUAUUUUCCCUGUAGAAAAUGAUUUUAUGUACCGAAGUUAGGGGUAUUAAAGCUAUUUUUAAAAAUCUCAUGGGUAUUUUUUAUUAGUGAAUUAGUGAAUUAAUCUCUAACAAAAUUAUAAUUCAGUGAAGAAAAAGAGUGAUAUCUGGACCAAUACUGAGGGCCAGUAGCAUAUGAGGCAAGGUUGAAGAAGGCUGAUCUACAACUUUGUGAUUCAAUGCAAAUCCAGUGCAAAAAGAAAUCUAGUCCAUUGCUUCUGUGAUAAAUGGUCCUGUAAGCAGUAGUUAGAGAUAUUCAAGAAUAUUAUUCUUGGGCUUUUGAGUUUCACAAAUAUUGACUGCUUAUUAAAAAUUAAUCAAUGCAAUAAUAACUAAAAAUGUAUGAAUGAAGAAAGGGAAAAUAGGGCCAAAUGUGGAAUAGCUAUAGCAUAUGUAAUGAAACUAACAUCAUUACCAAUCCAUUUCUAAGGAACAGAAGUCCAUUAAAAAUUUAUGAAGGCGUUUACACCUCAUCAGAAGGGAUGUGUGGACAGAGGUGUGUAAUUGUUGAUGUUCACGUUCUGUGCUGUCUUUGGCUUGCAGGUGUUUUUGUUUUCAUUUUUUUAAUUGAGAAAUAGGGGGAAAGUUUAUAUAAUAUAAUCAACUAACUAUAUUAAGGAGGCUCAAGCAUGAACCAGUGACAAAAUUGAGUCAUAUAACAAGUUAUGAUCAAUCCAACUGGCUUCACUGUGUUCCAUUGGUAAUCAUUCCACAGUGUAUAUGUAAAUCAAAAGCCACAUGGUACACUUCAAAUAGAUACAACUAUAUUUAUCAAUAAUUUCUCAGUAAAAUUGGAAAAAAAGUAUGUAGUCCUUUGUCAUUUAUGAGAGUGAGCAGCUGGAAACAGUUAUUAUUAAUUAGUGUUAUCCCGAGUUUGUAUACAACAGUACACAUUUUAUCAUUAUAGAUUAAUAAAUAAGUUAAUAACUUAAUAAUAUAAAAGGGAACAAAGCACAUGGCCAGUGAUAAGCAUGCGGUGAUGCAUGGUCCAUCAGUUCUAUUCACGUUUUGUCCCUCGUAAGAAACAAAUCUCAGCUCUCUCCAGGUUGAGUCAGGGGAACUGCACAGGUAACACACACAGCAUUUUUAGUCUGGGUUUCAUUAAACAGUUUUCAUUAUGGUUUAAAGUGAAUAGUUUUGUCAAUGUGUUUAUGAAUUAAAGAAUGAAUGAAUGAAUAUUAAAUCUAUCGAUACAGCUUUUUUUUAAGGUUUGAAGAUUUUACAUUCACUUUCAUAAAUAUUUAUAAUUCCUUCUUGGGUUUGUACCACAGUGUAUAAACAUUCUUCUGUGGUAGAGAUCUAAGUUGUUAAUUCAAUGAAGCAACUCAUAGAAAGAUGUAAGGUGUAGUUUUUGUAUGUGCAGUGGAUAGUGGGUUCAUGGUUGUGCUUAUAUCUUUAAAGAAUGUACAAGUUAAAUGAAAAAGUAGGAAAGUUCUCCAAAAAAUUAACCAUCCUACGAUCUAUAGUUCUAGUUAUAGAACUAUCCUAUGAUCCAGCGGUUGUACUACUAGGUAUUUACCCAAAGGAUGCAAGAAUACUGAUUCAAAGAGGCACAUGUACCUGAUGUUUAAAGCAGCAUUAUGGGGGACAUGAUGCAUGGGGGACAAGAACAAAGAGGCAAACUAUAAAACAUACUCUUAACUCUAGAGAACAAACUGAGGGUUGCUGGAGGGGAGGUGGGUGGGGAGAUAGGCUAAAUGGGUGAUGGGUAUUAAGGAGGGCACCUGUUGGGAUGAGCAUUGGGUGUUCUAUGUAAGUGAUGAAUCACUAAACUCUACUCCUGAAACUAAUACUACACUAUAUGUUAACUAAUUGGAAUUUGUAUAAAAACAUGAAAAAAAAAAAGAGCCAAGCAAGGGCCAGUGAUGUGAAUGGAAUGCAUUCUGAAUGUGUCUUGUGGUUAAGUCACUUCUGUACUAUUGAAGUUCAUUUCAAAAGGAGAUUUGGUAUAUUACAUCCGCGAGAAUAAAUCUAUAGCUAGACAGUAAUUUGGAAGAAUCUGAUGAUGGAAUCCUGGGAAUUUAUUGCAUUAUUCUAAGAGAAUAAAUGAACAAAACCAGUAGAUGACAGAUAGGUAGGUAGAUAGGUAAAUAGAUGAAGAGAGUAAUUAAUGCUGGAUUAAUUGGGAAAAAUGUUGCAAGGUUGACAUUUUUGUUUAUACAAUUGGGAAACAUUGCAGUAUAUUAAGAAAUCAGUAGGUUAAAGGUUAACCCCUCUGGGUUGGCGUACUACAACUCAUUUGAGUGAGCACCAAAAUCACCUGCAAGAGUGGUUAAACUAUAGAUUUCCAGUCCCACCCUCAGCAUUUCUGCUUUGGGAGGAUUCAAGGUCGGGGGUGGGGGGGUGGUGGGGAUCCAAGGAUCUGCAUUGCAAAUAUGUUCGCACAGUGAUAAUGCGUCAUUUAGAAACAACGGUUUGAGAAUCACUGCUUUAAGUCAGAUGUAUGUAAUAGUUAAUGCCCUUGCUUUGGAUCAGUGGUAAGUACCAGGUUGUUUAUUUUAUUAAGACAAAAAAAAGAGGAAAACUAAGAAACAGACUCUUAACUACAGAGAACACACUGGUGGUUACCAGGGAGGAGGUGGGGGGGGGGGUAAAAUAGGUGAUGGGGAUUAAGGAGUGCUCCUGCGAUGAGCACCCAGUGUUGUAGGGAGGUGUUGAAUCACUCAACUCCACACUUGAAACUAAGUAAUAAUAAUAAUAAUAAUAAUAAUGAAAAACAAGGAGCAAGGUAAUAGAUACAUUAAUUAAUAAAUAUCUGAAACUUCAAGCAAAUGAAAGGAGAAAGCAUGAUUCAAUGGAGAAAAUAGCUCAUUCUUUUAAUAACAUCAUCUUUAUGCUCUGCAAACGGAUGCACCUGAACUGAUUACACAUUCUGUGUAGACUCCAAUGAUGAGGAACCAACGUUUAUGAUUAAUUUUUAAAUAAUGUUUACUUAUUUAUUUUGAGAGAGAGAGAGGGAGAAUGAGUGGGGGAGGGGCAGAGAGAGAGGAAGAGAGAAUCCCAAGCAGGCUCCAUGAUGUCAGCACAGAACCCAAUGCAGGACUCGAUCUCAUGAACCAUGAGAUCAUAACCUGAUCUGAAAUCAAGAAUCAGAUGGUUAACCAACUAAGCCACCCAGGUUCCCCUAAAGUUUAUGAUUACUUUGAUGUAGUAUUACUUGGGAUGAUUUUAUUUUAUUUUUUAAGUUUUUAUUUAAAUUCCAGCUAGUUAACGUACAGUGUAGGAUUAGCUUCAGGGGUACAGCAUAGUGAUUCAGUACCUCCAUAUGUCAUCCUGGGCUCAUCAUAACACGAGCCCUCCUUAAUCCCCAUCACCUCUUUCUCCCAUCCCCCACCCACCUCCCCUACUUGGGAUGAUUUUAAAAAUAGAUCAAAUCCAUGUCACUCCUUUUUAUAACUCUUUAAAUUUCUAUUUCAGUGUCUCCCUAAACACUCCUUAACUGAUAAAGUCGUAAACUAUUUUUGUUAUGAGGACGAAGCACAUAGGAGAUGGAACUAGUAGUCAGUGUCUUAGUUCUGAUGGGAGUGGUCUAGAUAUAUAAAUAUGCAAAUUACACGAAAAAGGCAAACCAUGGACCAAUGAUGCGAAUGGAAUGCAUUCUGAUCUAUUAUACCUUAUGAUCAAAACAUCUAUGAUGUACUGAGGUCCCGUGCAAAAAGGGAUUGAAGUGUUUAUACCUGUGGGAGUGAGCCUAUAUAGAGAUUACAGUAAUAGUCAAGGAUCAUGUUCUUAGUCUUUGGUGCUUUGUGGAUUUUGCUUUUAUUUCUUUUUGUAAUUAAACUUUUAAAAAUAUUUAUUUAUUUUUGAGAGAGAGAGAGAGAGAGAGAGAGAGAGCAGGGGAGGGGCGGAGAGGGACAGAGUCACAGAAUCCAGAACAGGCUCCAGGCUCUGAGCUCUCGGCACAGAGCCUGAUGCGGGGCUUGAACUCACGAGUGGUGAGAUCAUGACCUGAGCCUAAGUCAGGCACUCGACCAACUGAGCCACCCAGGUGCUGCCAUUUUGCUUUUAUUUUACUCAAUAAAUGAGAGGAACAAAUACGUCGGUGCAUAAAGGUGAAAAGAGUGAGGCAUAUCCAACUAUGAAAAUACGUGGUGAGGCAAGAAUUACUAUGAAUAUAGCUUGGAACCACUGGACUUCAUUAAUAAAGAGAUCAAGGGGGUUACAUUUUGGGUAGGGAGAAUACAGAUGAUGAUAUGUAAUAGUAUGUUCUUGCUUUGAGUUAGUGGUGAGUUCAAGUGGUUCAUUUACCAAGAGAAAAAGAAGGAAGUACCACUAUAAAAUAAUAAAUACCCAAGUGACUAAGAAAACGAAUCAGAAAAGUAGGUAUUAAUGGGAAUAUUGUCUCAGCAUUUUAUUAUCUGCAGUGAUAAGUAGAGGUUACUGAGUCGUGUAUAAGUUUUAUGUUUGAUUAAUAUUAAGAGAAAAAUAAAUAAAUGUUAUUAUAAGUUAAUAAGUACCUAAAUGACUUUGUAUAUGAAUGGUGGAAAGUCUGAUCAAUAGAGAGGAUGUCUCAAUCUUUCUAGCACCUUCUUUGCUUCGUCCUCUUCAGAAGGGAGGCUGGAGCUAAUUUCUGUUUACGCGUGAUCAAGAUUAUCACAUAGCCUCUGUGUCAGAGAAGAGACUAAAGUCAGUACCAGCCAAGAUCUCGUUUUCAUUCAGGUCAUUUGUUUAAGGGCUUGUACAGUAUUAUUAAAAAUUAUUACAUUAGUAAAAAAGUUGACUAUUGUCCAAUAACGAAUAGGAUAUAAAACAUGUUGAUUGAUAAUGUGCAACAUUGAGAUUGAUUAACAGAAGAAACAUAGUCCAUGUGGGAAAUGGGUGUAUAGGCAGAUGCUAGGGACAUUCAAGCAUCUUGCCCUUGAGGUUGUUUUGUAAGUCAUCUAAUUUUUUAUUAUUGUCAGACAACUAAUGAUGCAAUGGAUAACAAAUAUAGACACAAAUUAAGAGAAAAAAAAAGAAAAGAAACCCAAACAUGGACCAGGGGUGAUGGCUGGUGAUACAAGUCAUGGACGGGAUACAGGGAUACAAGUCAUGGAUGAAUGGAUGCACUUGGGGUGAUGUGAGCAUCGUCCAUGGCCACGAGCUCUGUGGUUGCAUGUAUGCAUUAAGAGCGUGGAGACCCAUGUGAGUAAUAGUCAAAGUUCUUGUGUGGCUUUGGGUGGUUUGCUUAAGAAUAUCCACUGUAUGUGAAUGAAUGACUUAAGAAACAAUUUAGAAGUGAACGGAGAGAAAGCCCGCCAAUCCUGGACCGAUGAUGACGGCUGGUGGCGUAUGAGUCAUGGAUGAUGGUGAAUAAUGUGUGUCUGAAACUCUGAGGUCCAACCGGGCAUUCUCUUUGUUUGACAGGAUGCUGCAGGCAGAAGUCAGGACUAUGCGAAGAUCUUGUUUUUGGCCUCUGUGUUUGUUCAUGCAUUUUCAUUCCGUUAUUAUAAUUGGAGGAAUGAAAAUAAGCAACAAAUAGACAAAGAUCCAUACGGCAAAGCAUGCUCUAAUUAUAAAAAUAUGUGGUGAGGCAAGACAUAGUAUUCAUAAAUUUGAAAAGAGUGAAGUCCGACAAGGAAUAAAUGGUUACAUGGCUGUUGAGUCUUUGGCUAAGGGUCAUCUAGACAAAAUAAAUAAUAGUCAGUGUUCAUUUCCUGGGUCAGGGGCAACGUCUAAGUUGUUCAUUU